GAUGAACGCUGGCGGCGUGCUUAACACAUGCAAGUCGAACGGAAAGGCUCCUGCUUGCAGGGGUACUCGAGUGGCGAACGGGUGAGUAACACGUGGGUGAUCUGCCCUGCACUUCGGGAUAAGCCUGGGUAACUGGGUCUAAUACCGGAUAGGACGAUGGUUUGGAUGCCAUUGUGGAAAGUUUUUCGGUGUGGGAUGAGCUCGCGGCCUAUCAGCUUGUUGGUGGGGUAAUGGCCUACCAAGGCGUCGACGGGUAGCCGGCCUGAGAGGGUGUACGGCCACAUUGGGACUGAGAUACGGCCCAGACUCCUACGGGGGGCAGCAGUGGGGAAUAUUGCCCAAUGGGCGCAAGCCUGAUGCAGCGACGCCGCGUGGGGGAUGACGGCCUUCGGGUUGUAAACUCCUUUCGCUAGGGACGAAGCGCAAGUGACGGUACCUGGAGAAGAAGCACCGGCUAACUACGUG
This 465-nucleotide ribosomal RNA is filed under the name uncultured bacterium. RNAcentral's name for it is "partial 16S ribosomal RNA". It matches the Rfam family "Bacterial small subunit ribosomal RNA", at positions 28 to 507 of the family's 1533-position model. The record is from RNAcentral.